This 387-nucleotide RNase P RNA is filed under the name Planctomycetaceae bacterium. RNAcentral describes it as "RNase P RNA component class A". It matches the Rfam family "Bacterial RNase P class A". From Rfam's summary of the family: Ribonuclease P (RNase P) is a ubiquitous endoribonuclease, found in archaea, bacteria and eukarya as well as chloroplasts and mitochondria. Its best characterised activity is the generation of mature 5'-ends of tRNAs by cleaving the 5'-leader elements of precursor-tRNAs. The record is from RNAcentral. Lineage: Bacteria; Pseudomonadati; Planctomycetota; Planctomycetia; Planctomycetales; Planctomycetaceae.
UGUGCUGGGUGGAUGGUCGCUGGUUCUUUUUGAACGAGAGGAAAGUCCGGGCUUCAUAGAGCGCGAUGGUCGGUAACGCCGACCGGCUGAAUGAUUUAUUGUUUGGUCAGGGCAAGUGCAGCAGAAAGCAAACCGCCUGUGUAAACAGGUAAGGGUGAAACGGUGAGGUAAGAGCUCACCAGCAUGCAGGGUGACCUGUGUGGCUAGGUAAACCCCAUUGGAAGCAAAGCCAAACAGGAAGGAAGGGCGCGCGAGUGCCCCGAGAGCGGCUCGUUCUCGUUGACUUUCGGGUAGGCUGCUCGAGGCGGCAAGCAAUUGUCGUCCUAGAUGAAUGACCAUCAUUACUUCGGUAAUUACAAAACCCGGCUUAUAGCCCAGUCACUUCCU